UACAGGGGGUGCAAACGUUGCUCGGAAUCAUUGGGCGUAAAGAGCUCGUAGGCGGUGUGUCGCGUCGGCCGUGAAAACCUGCAGCUUAACUGUGGGCGUGCGGUCGAUACGGGCAUCACUGGAGUUCGGCAGGGGAGACUGGAAUUCCUGGUGUAGCGGUGAAAUGCGCAGAUAUCAGGAGGAACACCUGAGGCGAAGGCGGGUUGCUGGGCUGAUACUGACGCUGAGGCGCGAAAGCCAGGGGAGCAAACGGG
RNAcentral lists this ribosomal RNA (254 nucleotides) under uncultured bacterium. RNAcentral's name for it is "partial 16S ribosomal RNA". It matches the Rfam family "Bacterial small subunit ribosomal RNA", at positions 524 to 776 of the family's 1533-position model. The record is from RNAcentral.